Molecule: transfer RNA, 79 nt
Filed under: Bimuria novae-zelandiae CBS 107.79
Lineage: Eukaryota; Fungi; Ascomycota; Dothideomycetes; Pleosporales; Didymosphaeriaceae
Description: tRNA-Glu
Rfam family: tRNA
About the family: Transfer RNA (tRNA) molecules are approximately 80 nucleotides in length. Their secondary structure includes four short double-helical elements and three loops (D, anti-codon, and T loops).
Source: RNAcentral
UCCAAUGUGGUCUAGUGGCUAGGAUUUGCCGCUCUCAAGAAGUGCCGGCAAGGCCGGGGUUCGAUUCCCCGCAUUGGAA